GUGCUCGCUUCAACAGCACAUAUACUAACAUUGGAAAGAUACAGAGAAGAUUAGCAUGGCCCCUGUGCAAAGAUGACACGCAAAUUCAUGAAGUGUUCCAUAUUUCU
Hyla sarda is the source of this 107-nucleotide small nuclear RNA. The record is from RefSeq and is a predicted model, not a curated record. NCBI's taxonomy places the organism in Eukaryota, Metazoa, Chordata, Amphibia, Anura, Hylidae.